CGGAGGGUGCGAGCGUUAUCCGGAAUUACUGGGUUUAAAGGGUGCGUAGGCGGCUAUGUAAGUCAGGAGUGAAAGUUUGCGGCUCAACCGUAAAAUUGCUUUUGAUACUGCAUGGCUAGAAUCAGGAUGAGGUUAGCGGAAUGUGGCAUGUAGCGGUGAAAUGCAUAGAUAUGCCAUAGAACACCAAUUGCGAAGGCAGCUGGCUAGACCUGCAUUGACGCUGAGGCACGAAGCGUGGGAGCGAACAGGAUU
Molecule: ribosomal RNA, 252 nt
Filed under: uncultured bacterium
Lineage: Bacteria
Description: partial 16S ribosomal RNA
Rfam family: Bacterial small subunit ribosomal RNA
Source: RNAcentral